Molecule: ribosomal RNA, 254 nt
Filed under: uncultured bacterium
Lineage: Bacteria
Description: partial 16S ribosomal RNA
Rfam family: Bacterial small subunit ribosomal RNA
Source: RNAcentral
UACGGGGGGUGCAAGCGUUGUUCGGAUUUACUGGGCGUAAAGGGCGCGUAGGCGGCCGCCGAAAGUCGAUGGGGAAAUCUCCGGGCUUAACCCGGAAAGGUCAACCGAUACUGCGGGGCUAGAGUGCAGAAGGGGCAACUGGAAUUCUUGGUGUAGCGGUGAAAUGCGUAGAUAUCAGGAGGAACACCUGCGGCGAAGGCGGGUUGCUGGGCUGACACUGACGCUGAAGUGCGAAAGCUAGGGGAGCAAACGGG